This 20-nucleotide ribosomal RNA is filed under the name Ixodes holocyclus (paralysis tick). Its description in RNAcentral is "partial 5.8S ribosomal RNA". Lineage: Eukaryota; Metazoa; Arthropoda; Arachnida; Ixodida; Ixodidae. The record is from RNAcentral.
UUCGUCUGUCUGAGGGUCGG